RNAcentral lists this long non-coding RNA (2121 nucleotides) under Zea mays. Its description in RNAcentral is "long non-coding RNA (ZMAY_LNC004774)". Lineage: Eukaryota; Viridiplantae; Streptophyta; Magnoliopsida; Poales; Poaceae. The record is from RNAcentral.
UCAGGGUCCUCUCCUGCAAUUACCUCAGACUCCACGAACGGCCCGAUAUCUACGCGAGUGCAAACAUACAUCCACAUUCUUGAAACGGAAGGAAACAAUACACCAUACAACAAUGUAGAUCAAAUAAAUAUGCACGCGACAUAGAAUUCGCAUAUAUGACUACGCGAGAACGGAACUGAGACGACUGACGCUACGGUCGAGGGAUAUCACGUUUACGGCAAACAAGUAUAACUAUAACCUUUAAUUCGACAUUGUUAAAUAUAAAUUAUAUCUAAUAUUUAGUUUCGCUUAACCUACUACACUAGCAGCUGUCAGUCAAACCGGUAAUUUAAUUAAAGCGAGAGAUUCUAAGCGGGGCAAAUUUAUGACGCGCGAAACAACACGACAGCGUGCAAACGACGUACGACAUAGCACGCUGACGACACACGAAACAAUAUGUGCGACCAGCACGAAUGACGCGCGAAUCAGCACGCGACCCCGAGCACAUCACACACGAAUAGUGCGCAUACAGUGCUGCGACGCAUGAUAAUCGCUAACAAAUAACGCAAUUACACUAAACACGUAUUGUUAGAACAUUAGUUCGGCAUAAUUAUAUUGAUUGACAUUUAUCAACUGUAAACUAAAAAAAAUACUAUUUAGUUUUGACUAAAUUACUAUUUUAAUAGUGAACGAUUAAAUGAAUAAUAAAUUAAAUGACCUGAGUGAUUAUAAGUGAACAAUUUAAUAUUGCGCGCGACACGUGACGAUGCUAGAAAACAGCGCGCGGACGACGCGCAGUAACGCGUGCGAACAGCACGCGCGACACGCGCGAACGAUGCGCGACGAAGGGGACGAACAACAUGUGUGAUAUGCGCGACCGACGCGCGACAACAUGUGCGACAAUAUGAGAAACAGUGUGACGCGCGAAAGGCACGUGAUUUAGCGCGCGGCAACACGUGAGAUUCGCUAACAGAUAUCGUGUUUAUACUAAACAAAUAUUAAAUGAAAAACGUUUAAGUUGGUAUUAAUCAAGUUAACAUUUAUAUUUAUAAAGCGCAAGUUAAAACUAUAAACUAGUUUUAAUUAGAAGGUCAACUAAUUAAUUAAUUAAAACUUAUGUCGCGAUAAAAUAAUAUUUUCAACUUAUUGAUGGCAUUAUUAUUAAGCUAAUGCUAUUGAAAAGGGUUGAAACAGAUUUGUAACAUAAAAGAUACUGAAUAAUAAUAAAAGAUACUGAAUAAUAACAACUCACGGAUUUUCGCAACGAGAUUUUAUUUGGCUGAAUAAUAGGCCACACAAAGGGCUACGUGACCGUAGGUGUAGAAGAUUGAGAUGAGGGGCUGUGGUUUUGCAGAUCGUGAAUGCGGCAUGCAUGCAUGGCAAACUAGAGUGGAGGUCGUGUGUGUGCAUGCUUGCAAGAGGGCCCACAAGGCUGUUUUCCAAUUUUCCUACAUGCAGAUCGGACGUGGUGGGGGGGGGGGGCAAGCCUGCAGGUGGGGUUCCCAACGGUUCUCUUUUCCUUGACCGCAUGCAUGGCUGAAACUGCAUCGGCGUUUUUUCUGCUACCUUAGAGACACACGCGAUGCAACAUAGGGAGGACGGGGAUCGUCGGGCAGGGUGGAGACUCAUCGGCGGCGCGGCUGCCUAGGCAUGCAGCGGCAACGUUGGCUGGGGCACAACACGACGGUGGUAGCGGCUUGCCUGGCACAGGCUACAGCAGCCAGGGACGGACGCAGGCUGCAAUGGCCAGGGAGGGACACGCGGUCUCUCGCCGGAGCGGCCAGAGCGGCUCGCCGACGGCGGUGCUCAGCCAGGGAGCGGGCCACGGCGGCAUGCAUGCACAACAACUUAGCAGGAAGGGGAUGCGAGACCUUACCAGUCGGGGUGGCGUCGGCGAUGUGUUGCGCACAGUGUUCCAGCGAAGCACGUCUAUGGCGGAGCUCCAGACUUCUACCCGUGUCUCCACUAGCAGCUUCAAGGGAACCCCCUUCCUUGACACCACGAGGAGAUACGGAAGUGAGAGUCUUGCCUUGCGUAUGGGAGAGAAUGAGAAUAUGGCGGAUGGGGUGGUUUUGAUCGGCCAGGACAGGACUGGGAGUUGCAGGAGGUAGUGAUACGGGAAGAGAAGUUGAGGGUUGUGCG